This 524-nucleotide ribosomal RNA is filed under the name uncultured bacterium. Its description in RNAcentral is "bacterial SSU rRNA". It matches the Rfam family "Bacterial small subunit ribosomal RNA", at positions 355 to 896 of the family's 1533-position model. The record is from RNAcentral.
UGGGGAAUAUUGGACAAUGGACCAAAAGUCUGAUCCAGCAAUUCUGUGUGCACGAUGACGUUUUUCGGAAUGUAAAGUGCUUUCAGUUGGGAAGAAAAAAAUGACGGUACCAACAGAAGAAGUGACAGCUAAAUACGUGCCAGCAGCCGCGGUAAUACGUAUGUCACAAGCGUUAUCCGGAUUUAUUGGGCGUAAAGCGCGUCUAGGUGGUUAUGUAAGUCUGAUGUGAAAAUGCAGGGCUCAACUCUGUAUUGCGUUGGAAACUGCAUGACUAGAGUACUGGAGAGGUAAGCGGAACUACAAGUGUAGAGGUGAAAUUCGUAGAUAUUUGUAGGAAUGCCGAUGGGGAAGCCAGCUUACUGGACAGAUACUGACGCUAAAGCGCGAAAGCGUGGGUAGCAAACAGGAUUAGAUACCCUGGUAGUCCACGCCGUAAACGAUGAUUACUAGGUGUUGGGGGUCGAACCUCAGCGCCCAAGCUAACGCGAUAAGUAAUCCGCCUGGGGAGUACGUACGCAAGUAUG